GAUGAACGCUGGCGGCGUGCCUAAUACAUGCAAGUCGAGCGAACGGACGAGAAGCUUGCUUCUCUGAUGUUAGCGGCGGAGGGGUGAGUAACACGUGGAUAACCUACCUAUAAGACUGGGAUAACUUCGGGAAACCGGAGCUAAUACCGGAUAGUAUUUUGAACCGCAUGGUUCAAAGGUGAAAGACGGUCUUGCUGUCACUUAUAGAUGGAUCCGCGCUGCAUUAGCUAGUUGGUAAGGUAACGGCUUACCAAGGCAACGAUGCAUAGCCGACCUGAGAGGGUGAUCGGCCACACUGGAACUGAGACACGGUCCAGACUCCUACGGGAGGCAGCAGUAGGGAAUCUUCCGCAAUGGGCGAAAGCCUGACGGAGCAACGCCGCGUGAGUGAUGAAGGUCUUCGGAUCGUAAAACUCUGUUAUUAGGGAAGAACAUAUGUGUAAGUAACUGUGCACAUCUUGACGGUACCUAAUCAGAAAGCCACGGCUAACUACGUG
RNAcentral lists this ribosomal RNA (497 nucleotides) under uncultured bacterium. Its description in RNAcentral is "partial 16S ribosomal RNA". It matches the Rfam family "Bacterial small subunit ribosomal RNA", at positions 28 to 507 of the family's 1533-position model. The record is from RNAcentral.